Long non-coding RNA from Drosophila gunungcola (fruit fly), 1657 nucleotides. RefSeq lists it as uncharacterized. The record is from RefSeq and is a predicted model, not a curated record. NCBI's taxonomy places the organism in Eukaryota, Metazoa, Arthropoda, Insecta, Diptera, Drosophilidae. The transcript has 3 exons.
CUUUGGAUUUGUUUGGGAUUACACUUUAUAUGUAUAUAUAUUUAUGCUUUAUUUAAAGAUAUGAAGUGCAUUUAAAUGACAUAAAUUUGACCCACAUUCAAUAAAGUGACACUCACGUGCAUCGCUGAUCAUCUUCGACCUUAUCCCACCUUAGUUUUUAGAUUAUUAAAGCACCAUCCUGAAGAAUACGCCAAAAUGGACCAACAGCUCUGCCUGAGUUGGAGCCCACAGUCCGAAUUGGCCGGCGUGUUCGAUAAUCUGCUGGAGAACGAAUUCCUGACCCGCUGCACCCUCGGCAUUGAGUCCUUACUUUGCGUGCGUAUACCUAUGCCCUGCUGCAGGAGCAGUACGACAAGCACCCCAUUUUCAUACUCAAGGAUGUCAAGGACCAGGAACUGCGCCCCAUGAUCCCCUACAAGUACUGCGAGGAGGAGCACAUUCCGCAGAAUCAGCUUGCCGCCCUGCUAAAGGCGGCCGAAUCGCUGCAGAUCAAUGGUCAUCAGAAGGAGGAGGAGUUCCAGUUUCACAGGGAACCCACGCCCUCGUCGAACGAGGAAAGAGGCGCACUUCGGCACUCCGAAGGAAAAUACAUCGACAGCUAUUACAAAGGCUAAAUUUUGAAUUAAGGAAACGAUUAUAAUUCGAUUUGAACCUAUGUUGAUUUUCCACCGUUUCCGUUCGAACUUAUACAUAUCUAUCUAUAUCUACCUGAAAUAAAAAAAAAAUGGUUAGGGAAAGUUGUUAGUUUAGAGCUGAAAAAAAUAAUGGAAAACAGAUGGACAAGUCUAGAUCGCAACUAAAAGUACACCAUAUCAAUAACAGGACUAUAUAUCUUAUGAUAAAAUAAAAAGUUAAAAUAACUUAUAUAAUGUAAUAAUUUAAAACACACUAUAAUGUAUAUCUAAUUUUGAAUUUCUCACGUAAUUUUUAGUUAUUCCUUUUGUUGCAGAUGGUCAUACCGCUACUUAUACUUCCGUCAGCGAAAAAAUUCAACUCCCAAUUCAAAACUUUCAAGUAAACAAAUCCCAAAAUUUGUCGACCCUGGAUUUCAGAAUUGAACACAAUUCCGAUUUCGAAAUGGAAGUUUUUGAAUAUGAUUGGGCCAUAAGCGAGCAGGCCAUGCCGAUCCAGAACGAUAGAUCUCAGGCUUAACCUAUUUCCAUAUAUCGACGUAUCAGAAAAUUCAGCUUUGAAUGUUGGAAUUACACUUCAAUUUUCAUUGUUACUCACAAUAUCCUUAAAGAAAUUUCUGCUGUUUUAUAGCAUUUUAGUGAAGUGGGAAAUUCGCAGAAAAAUCUCACGAGAUGGCGCCACUUAAUGACAGAAUGCUAAGGUCUAUGUCACCUAAUAUAAUUCCUUUUCGCAAUAUCCUUAACAGAAAUCCUGUUUUAUAGCAUUUUAUUAAAGUGGGCAUUUUUUAUACCAUAUCAAUAAACAGAAUUUCCUCAUCCUUUUUUUUCUCCGAGGGAAAUUCGCAGAAAAAUGUCGCAGGAUGACGCAACUUAAUGACAGAUUGCUAGGGACUCUCCACUGCAUAUAAUUUGCCAAAGAUUUUUUUGUAAAUAUUUUCAGCUUUUAAAAUGAAAUUUUUUUUGUAACGAAAAACUGCUGCUUAUUGAAAUUUAAAGGAAAAAAAGAUUAUUUAUAAAAAUAUUAG